GGUUAGAAAUAAAACUGCCGGGCUGAAGGAGGGCAGAGGCUGUUCGGUUGGAGCUGUGGUCGGAUGCCUGAGGAGAGGAGAGCGUGAUUGAGGAGAGGACGGACGUCACUGUGUCUGACCGGAAUUAACCCGGGAGCAAAGGAGUGGAGGCGGAGCCGCAAAGCAGCGCUGUCAGCGGUGGCAUAGACAUAUCAGUGUAAGCCGCCAGUAUUAAGGGAAGAGAUGCGGGGAGGAGCGAGACAGCGAGACGAGACUCCAGGGAGGAGCUAUACCGUUGGGCAGCCAAGGUCUCCAUGUGACGGAUGAGCGGCCGAGGUCCUCUGGAGAGGGUAGCUGGGACGUAGCAGCCUCCUGAGAAGGGAGAUAUCAUACCGCUGCCUCCGCUGUACUUAAACAUACAAUUAUACUUACCGUCGAAGGGUUCAGCAGGACGUGACUGACCUGGAAAAGAAGAGGAAGGUACAAGGAUAUGGGGAGAUAAGAUCUCAGUGAAGAGGACUGAGUUCAAUUUGGUCUGGGACGGUGAGAUUUCUUCCAGUUGACUUUUGAAGAUUUGCAGAGUGCGGUCCCUAUCAUGAGAAGAGGGCCCCGCCCAGCUGAGAGGAGGUACGCGCACAACAACACCAGUGACGUCACGCACCUCAGAGGAAGAGAGGGUGCGCAUCUAGCAGGAGAGAUAUUCACAAGUGAACAAACAAUGAGAUUUCCGAAUGAACAAGCAGAUAUCACAAGAAUACAAAUACCAAUAAGACACCGUAAAAUAUUUUAAAAACCAUAAGAACACAAGUGGACACGUA
Pseudophryne corroboree (corroboree frog) is the source of this 797-nucleotide long non-coding RNA. RefSeq lists it as uncharacterized. The record is from RefSeq and is a predicted model, not a curated record. The transcript has 5 exons. Lineage: Eukaryota; Metazoa; Chordata; Amphibia; Anura; Myobatrachidae.